CUCGUCGGGGUGGAUUAGUGGCGACGGGUGAGUAACACGUGAGCAACCUGCCCUUGACUCUGGGAUAAGCCUGGGAAACUGGGUCUAAUACCGGAUAGUACCCCUUGCCGCAUGGUGGGGGGUGGAAAGCCUUGUGCGGUCUUGGAUGGGCUCGCGGCCUAUCAGCUUGUUGGUGGGGUGAUGGCCUACCAAGGCGACGACGGGUAGCCGGCCUGAGAGGGUGACCGGCCACACUGGGACUGAGACACGGCCCAGACUCCUACGGGAGGCAGCAGUGGGGAAUAUUGCACAAUGGGCGGAAGCCUGAUGCAGCGACGCCGCGUGGGGGAUGACGGCCUUCGGGUUGUAAACCCCUUUCAGUAGGGAAGAAGCGCAAGUGACGGUACCUGCAGAAGAAGCGCCGGCUAACUACGUGCCAGCAGCCGCGGUAAUACGUAGGGCGCGAGCGUUAUCCGGAAUUAUUGGGCGUAAAGAGCUCGUAGGCGGUUUGUCGCGUCUGCUGUGAAAGCCCGGGGCUCAACCCCGGGUCUGCAGUGGGUACGGGCAGGCUGGAGUGCAGUAGGGGAGACUGGAAUUCCUGGUGUAGCGGUGAAAUGCGCAGAUAUCAGGAGGAACACCGAUGGCGAAGGCAGGUCUCUGGGCUGUAACUGACGCUGAGGAGCGAAAGCAUGGGGAGCGAACAGGAUUAGAUACCCUGGUAGUCCAUGCCGUAAACGUUGGGCACUAGGUGUGGGGGCCAUUCCACGGUUUCCGCGCCGCAGCUAACGCAUUAAGUGCCCCGCCUGGGGAGUACGGCCGCAAGGCUAAAACUCAAAGGAAUUGACGGGGGCCCGCMCAAGCGGCGGASCAUGCGGAUUAAUUCGAUGCAACGCGAAGAACCUUACCAAGGCUUGACAUGUGCCGGACCGUCCCAGAGAUGGGGCUUCCCUUCGGGGCCGGUUCACAGGUGGUGCAUGGUKGUCGUCAGCUCGUGUCGUGAGAUGUUGGGUUAAGUCCCGCAACGAGCGCAACCCUCGUUCCAUGUUGCCAGCACUUCGGGUGGGGACUCAUGGGAGACUGCCGGGGUCAACUCGGAGGAAGGUGGGGACGACGUCAAAUCAUCAUGCCCCUUAUGUCUUGGGCUUCACGCAUGCUACAAUGGCCGGUACAAAGGGUUGCGAUACUGUGAGGUGGAGCCAAUCCCAGAAAGCCGGUCUCAGUUCGGAUUGGGGUCUGCAACUCGACCCCAUGAAGUCGGAGUCGCUAGUAAUCGCAGAUCAGCAACGCGCCGUGCCG
This 1275-nucleotide ribosomal RNA is filed under the name Corynebacterium sp. 3My2. RNAcentral's name for it is "bacterial SSU rRNA". It matches the Rfam family "Bacterial small subunit ribosomal RNA", at positions 76 to 1367 of the family's 1533-position model. The record is from RNAcentral. Lineage: Bacteria; Bacillati; Actinomycetota; Actinomycetes; Mycobacteriales; Corynebacteriaceae.